AGAGUUUGAUCCUGGCUCAGAACGAACGUUGGCGGCGUGGAUUAGGCAUGCAAGUCGAACGUGAAAGGGGAGCUUGCUCCCUGAGUAGAGUGGCGAACGGGUGAGUAACGCGUGGGAAAUCUGCCCCAAAGCGGGGAAUAACACUCCCAACGGGGUGCUAAUACCGCAUGACAUCGCCGGGUGGCAUCACCUGGCGAUCAAAGGUGGGGACCGCAAGGCCUGUCACUUUGGGAUGAUCCCGCGUCCGAUUAGCUUGUUGGUAGGGUAAUGGCCUACCAAGGCGACGAUCGGUAGCUGGUCUGAGAGGAUGGUCAGCCACACUGGGACUGAGAUACGGCCCAGACUCCUACGGGAGGCAGCAGUCGAGAGGCUUCGGCAAUGGGCGAAAGCCUGACCGAGCGACGCCGCGUGAGCGAUGAAGCCCUUCGGGGCGUAAAGCUCUUUUGUGGGGGAAGAAACGCUGCGACCUAAUACGUCGUGUGCCUGACGGUACCCUGCGAAUAAGCUCCGGCUAACUCCGUGCCAGCAGCCGCGGUAAUACGGGGGGAGCAAACGUUGUUCGGAAUCACUGGGCGUAAAGGGCGCGUAGGCGGUCCUGUGAGUGGUGUGUGAAAUCCGAUGGCUCAACCAUCGAGCUGCGCUCCAUACUGCAGGACUUGAGUACAGCAGAGGAAAGUGGAAUUCCCGGUGUAGCGGUGAAAUGCGUAGAUAUCGGGAGGAACACCGUUGGCGAAGGCGACUUUCUGGGCUGCUACUGACGCUGAGGCGCGAAAGCCAGGGGAGCGAACAGGAUUAGAUACCCUGGUAGUCC
This 811-nucleotide ribosomal RNA is filed under the name uncultured bacterium. RNAcentral describes it as "bacterial SSU rRNA". It matches the Rfam family "Bacterial small subunit ribosomal RNA", at positions 8 to 796 of the family's 1533-position model. The record is from RNAcentral.